GAUUGAACGCUGGCGGCAUGCCUUACACAUGCAAGUCGAACGGUAACCGGUCUUCGGAUGCUGACGAGUGGCGAACGGGUGAGUAAUACAUCGGAACGUGCCCGAUCGUGGGGGAUAACGGAGCGAAAGCUUUGCUAAUACCGCAUACGAUCUACGGAUGAAAGCAGGGGACCGCAAGGCCUUGCGCGGACGGAGCGGCCGAUGGCAGAUUAGGUAGUUGGUGGGAUAAAAGCUUACCAAGCCGACGAUCUGUAGCUGGUCUGAGAGGACGACCAGCCACACUGGGACUGAGACACGGCCCAGACUCCUACGGGAGGCAGCAGUGGGGAAUUUUGGACAAUGGGCGAAAGCCUGAUCCAGCCAUGCCGCGUGCAGGAUGAAGGCCUUCGGGUUGUAAACUGCUUUUGUACGGAACGAAAAGACUCUUUCUAAUAAAGAGGGUCCAUGACGGUACCGUAAGAAUAAGCACCGGCUAACUACGUG
This 483-nucleotide ribosomal RNA is filed under the name uncultured bacterium. RNAcentral's name for it is "partial 16S ribosomal RNA". It matches the Rfam family "Bacterial small subunit ribosomal RNA", at positions 27 to 507 of the family's 1533-position model. The record is from RNAcentral.